CAGACUCUUCCUCAAAAUGCUGUUUAUCUCACCAGCCCUGAUCUCAUAUACUGUACAAUCCUAAUGCUGCCCUGUGCUGAUGCAGUAAGUAACGUCUUGGUGUUUCAUUGUCACCUUCACAGCUGUUAGAGAGCACUGGCUCCUACAGGACCACCUGCCAGCUGUGAUGCUAUUCAUUUUACAUCACCGUCGUAGACGACACCUCUCCUUGCUGGCAGACAAGCCAGGGAGGUGCUGUGAAUGCUGACCUCGGCUCGCCGUGCUGCUCUGCCGUGCCGACCCUCCUUCCUGGCUGUGCUGCGUGGUGCUCAGUUGACCUGAAGGUUUUCCCAAGUGCUCUUUCACCCCUGAGUGCUGCCUUCUUUCCUCUGCAUCAGCUGGCAUCCACACGUGGGCACGGUAUUCUGUCCUGCAGGUGGGAAGCCGUUGUGCUUAGGGACAGGGUGACUUCUCUGUGGUCAGAGAGGAAGCAGCAAAGCAGGGAGCCAAGCUGUUAUCCCCUCCCUCGGCACGGGGAGCUCUCACUGUUGGCUGUGCUCCUGCCAAACUGGUAUCCUUCUG
Molecule: long non-coding RNA, 561 nt
Filed under: Gallus gallus (chicken)
Lineage: Eukaryota; Metazoa; Chordata; Aves; Galliformes; Phasianidae
Description: long non-coding RNA NONGGAT009289
Source: RNAcentral